This 70-nucleotide ribosomal RNA is filed under the name Escherichia coli. Its description in RNAcentral is "partial 23S ribosomal RNA". The record is from RNAcentral. Lineage: Bacteria; Pseudomonadati; Pseudomonadota; Gammaproteobacteria; Enterobacterales; Enterobacteriaceae.
GUAAGCGCAGCGAUGCGUUGAGCUAACCGGUACUAAUGAACCGUGAGGCUGAACCUUACAACGCCGAAGC